Molecule: unclassified non-coding RNA, 258 nt
Filed under: Hevea brasiliensis (rubber tree)
Lineage: Eukaryota; Viridiplantae; Streptophyta; Magnoliopsida; Malpighiales; Euphorbiaceae
Source: RNAcentral
ACUAUGGAUCGAUUUAAGAUGGUUUUUGAAACAAAAUCAAGCCGGAGAAUGUUUACACUUGUGGCGUCCUUUGUUGUGAUAUUCCUUAUUGUAUACUAUCUGACUAGGUAAUCAAUCGAAGAUGAUGAUACAGUUGCUAGCAUCGUGAAAGUGGAUCAUUUUGUGGUAACUGUAAUCAAUGGUACUUCCUGUUGUUAGAUUUUAGGCAUGUUUAUAUGAAGAAGUUGAAAUAUGUCAAAAUGCGUUGAAUGUAUGGAA